CAGUCGCCGCGGUAAUACGGAGGGUGCAAGCGUUAAUCGGAAUUACUGGGCGUAAAGCGUGCGCAGGCGGCUAUGCAAGACAGAUGUGAAAUCCCCGGGCUCAACCUGGGAACUGCAUUUGUGACUGGAUGACUAGAGUACGGCAGAGGGGGAUGGAAUUCCGCGUGUAGCAGUGAAAUGCGUAGAUAUGCGGAGGAACACCGAUGGCGAAGGCAAUCCCCUGGGCCCGUACUGACGCUCAUGCACGAAAGCGUGGGGAGCAAACAGGAUUAGAUACCCCCGUAGUCCCUGUCUCUUAUAC
Molecule: ribosomal RNA, 301 nt
Filed under: uncultured bacterium
Lineage: Bacteria
Description: partial 16S ribosomal RNA
Rfam family: Bacterial small subunit ribosomal RNA
Source: RNAcentral